AUUUGAAAUCUCCGAUGCCCGCAUCGGCGAGUUGUAGUUGCGAGAAGCACUUUCUAGGCGGAAUCGGCCCUGCCUAAGUUGCUUGGAACGGCACGUCGCAGAGGGUGACAACCCCGUCUGUGGCAGGGCCGGCCGUCGACGAUGCGCUUUCGAAGAGUCGGGUUGUUUGGGAAUGCAGCCCAAAAUGGGUGGUAAACUCCAUCUAAAGCUAAAUAUUGGCGUGAGACCGAUAGCGAACAAGUACCGUGAGGGAAAGAUGAAAAGAACUUUGAAAAGAGAGUUAAAGAGUACGUGAAACCGUCUAGAGGGAAACGAAUGGACUCAGCAAUGCGCUCCGUCGAGAUUCAGCCGGCGGGCGACCUCGGUCCUUGGUUCGCGGAUCCGAAUGGACCGCGGCCUCGGGCUCGCGAGCUCCCGCCGUCGCACUUCUCACGGGCGCGCGUCAACGUCGGUUGGGACUGGGUGUUAAGGGUGCCGGGAAGGUAGGCGCGGAGCCCCUCGGGGAUUUCCGCUCUGUUAACGUAGCCCGGCUUCUCGCAUGACUCGGGCCCGACCGAGGCGGUUAUAGGGCAUGCCUCUUGUGGCUAGGGGCCCGUCCUUCCGGCCGGCCGUCCGAUGCGGUGGACUGCUUGCAGUGUUCGGCGAUGGCUACCGGUCGUUUGGGCGGUGUUUUUCCCGUACCAUGCCCUUGGGACGUUGGCGGUCAUAUGGGUCUAUCCGACCCGUCUUGAAACACGGACCAAGGAGUCUAACAUGUGCGCGAGUCUUAGGGUGAGCCAAACCCCGAGGCGCAAUGAAAGUGAAAGCGGUUUCGGCCGCCGAGGUGAGACCCGCACUGCUGCGCGGCGGGGCGGCGCAUCAUCGACCGACCUAUUCUACUCUUAGGAAGGUUUGAGUGAGA
RNAcentral lists this ribosomal RNA (901 nucleotides) under Mycetophyllia sp. MSB-2008. Its description in RNAcentral is "eukaryotic LSU rRNA". It matches the Rfam family "Eukaryotic large subunit ribosomal RNA", at positions 113 to 799 of the family's 3401-position model. The record is from RNAcentral. Lineage: Eukaryota; Metazoa; Cnidaria; Anthozoa; Scleractinia; Faviidae.